Schizosaccharomyces pombe (fission yeast) is the source of this 1225-nucleotide non-coding RNA. Lineage: Eukaryota; Fungi; Ascomycota; Schizosaccharomycetes; Schizosaccharomycetales; Schizosaccharomycetaceae. The record is from the annotation of a GenBank genome assembly.
CAAGGCUAUGGAUAAUUUUUAAUGCACGGUUGGUGUUACAAUCUAAUAAUCAGCUGUGUUAGUAAAACCAUUCUUCUUCCUGAUUCGUCUCGAGCAUGUAUUAAAUAACUUACGUUUUAACAUUUUAUCAACUUCAACACCAAUGCGCUCUCUGCUUAUAGAUGACCGUAAUCGCUCAUGAAGUUCGGGAUUUUUCAACCCCUUAAUAGUCUCUUCGUGAAUGUUGAAAUCAUAUUUCGUAGCAAAACGAAUACAUCGAACUGCUCGUAAAGGGUCGUCACCAAACGUCUCAUCGGCUACAAGUGGUGUCCUUAUAAUUUUAUUACUUAAGUCAACCAAUCCUUUUCCCGUAAAGUCUUCCACAGUCUUACUCUUCAAGUUGUAAAAUAAAGCAUUGAUUGUUGCGUCCCGUCUCAAAGCAUCUUCUAAAGGUGUUCCGAAAACGAGUUUGUUAGACGAAUUUGAAUUAGUGUAGUCAUGAUGUCUUAAAUUAACAAUGUCAAUAUCCAUUCCCAUAAUUCUUGCAGUGGCUGUUUCAAGGUGCUUUGACUUUAGAGGAUUCGCAUCAAUUUUGAUAACUUUUGUCUCCCAGUCAGGGUGUUGUUGAGCCAAAUAACUUUGGAGAUGCUGUGCAAAUUCGAAACCGGACAUACAAUCAAUAGCUACAUCUAUAUCGUGACUUUCGAUUCUUAAUAACUAACAAUUUAAUAAGUACAAGAAACUUAUAAAUUCCGAACACAGGAAAGCUUUGACUUACUUUAUCACGAACCCAACCACCGGCAAAUCUAACUUCAGGCUCCUUCCGAUCCAUUUGACCAAUUUUCUUUGAGACAUUGAGGAAUAUAUCACUUAACUCCUUUUCGGUUUCGUUCAGCUCCAAAAUAGAAGAGCUGCUAGCCAUUGGAGAUGAAUGAUAUUUUCUCAAAAUACGAGUGUCGGGACCAGAAAACUUAGUAAGUAUAACUUUUUUUAAUAUCCGAUUUCUCACAGCGGAGAUGCACAUUCACUAAAGUGAGAAACGUAUGUAAAUAUGGAAAAAGCCAAAUCUUUUAAAACUUCUUACAUAACGUUAGCAAUAAAAUAAAAUUUAAAAUAACUAUAAGAUAGGACGAAAAAAAACCUUUUAUACUAAGCAAUCAAGCAGAGAAAGAAGAUAGAACAUGUCAAUAGGUUGUCAAUGCAUACGAGGUGAAGUGCCUUGUGUUCCAUCAGUUUAACGAGAUUA